AGGACGAACGCUGGCGGCGUGCUUAACACAUGCAAGUCGAACGGAAAGGCCCUUCGGGGUACUCGAGUGGCGAACGGGUGAGUAACACGUGAGCAAUCUGCCCCUAGCUCUGGGAUAGCUCCGGGAAACCGGGAUUAAUACCAGAUAUUACUACGGCCGACAUCAGCUGUGGUGGAAAGAAUUUCGGCUAGGGAUGAGCUCGCGGCCUAUCAGCUUGUUGGUGGGGUAAAGGCCCACCAAGGCGACGACGGGUAGCCGGCCUGAGAGGGCGACCGGCCACACUGGGACUGAGACACGGCCCAGACUCCUACGGGAGGCAGCAGUGGGGAAUAUUGCGCAAUGGGCGAAAGCCUGACGCAGCGACGCCGCGUGCGGGAUGGAAGGCCUUCGGGUUGUAAACCGCUUUCAGCAGGGACGAAGCGAAAGUGACGGUACCUGCAGAAGAAGCGCCGGCUAACUACGCGCCAGCAGCCGC
RNAcentral lists this ribosomal RNA (475 nucleotides) under uncultured bacterium. RNAcentral's name for it is "SSU rRNA". It matches the Rfam family "Bacterial small subunit ribosomal RNA", at positions 26 to 518 of the family's 1533-position model. The record is from RNAcentral.